AGAACGAACGCUGGCGGCAGGCUUAACACAUGCAAGUCGAACGCCCCGCAAGGGGAGUGGCAGACGGGUGAGUAACGCGUGGGAACGUACCUUUCAGUUCGGAAUAACUCAGGGAAACUUGUGCUAAUACCGGAUACGCCCGCAAGGGGAAAGAUUUAUCGCUGAAAGAUCGGCCCGCGUUGGAUUAGCUAGUUGGUGGGGUAAAGGCCUACCAAGGCGACGAUCCAUAGCUGGUCUGAGAGGAUGAUCAGCCACACUGGGACUGAGACACGGCCCAGACUCCUACGGGAGGCAGCAGUGGGGAAUAUUGGACAAUGGGCGCAAGCCUGAUCCAGCCAUGCCGCGUGUGUGAUGAAGGCCUUAGGGUUGUAAAGCACUUUCACCGAUGAAGAUAAUGACGGUAGUCGGAGAAGAAGCCCCGGCUAACUUCGUG
Molecule: ribosomal RNA, 433 nt
Filed under: uncultured bacterium
Lineage: Bacteria
Description: bacterial SSU rRNA
Rfam family: Bacterial small subunit ribosomal RNA
Source: RNAcentral